CAGCUAAUGAAAAUUUAAGAAGCAACGAACCAUGGCUAAUAGGUUUGAAGAAAUGAGAAGGGACAUUGAUCGAACUUGAAUAUUGUAUAUUCAGUAAGCAACUAUAUGCAGCAGUAUUUUAAUCAACAACAACAAACAAAAAUUUCCCACUAACAUGCAUCUGCUGCAUUGAUCUAUGUUACUCUCUUUCAGGUGCCCUGACAUUAGGCUAAAACACUUUGAAACUGCAUAACUAUCACGAAGGAAGGUUAUAAAUUUGAAACAAUGUUUACCACAAAGGUUAUACUUUGAACCUUACACUUUGAAGGGUUUCAUUAGGUAUAAUAAAAAGGAUAAAAACUUAUGUAAUUAUUUAGAAAAAGUACAAUGGUUGUAUCAGUAUUUCAUCCAAAACGGAAGGUUUCGACUAAGAAACUGCAUAACUAUCACGAAGGAAGGUUAUAAAUUUGAAACAAUGUGGCGAAAGCAAAACAUCAACAUUUCCUCUUUGCAAAUGAAUUAAAACUACAGAAGCUUAUAUAUACCACUAUAUUGUUGAAUUAUCUCUACCAUUAUUGUUUAUCAUCAGGACUCUGAUCCUCCCUUCUACUGGUCAAUUCCAUCCCUUCUGCAACAUCUGUUGUUCCAAUAGGGUCGGAAGCGUGUAAAUUAUUGUACUAAAAAAUCACACAAAGUUCAAUUCCCAGGGAAGAGAGGUGGAUCACAUGGAUCUCUUAAAUACCAAGUCUUUCCUUAGACAAAAUAUCCCUUCUAUAGUAAUUUAAUAGCACAAUUAAAUACUACUAUUAUACCCUCAAAUAUUGAAAGAAAAAUAGGACAAGAAAGAACACAAGAGAUUUAACGAGGUUCGAUAAAUUAUACCUACGUCAUCGGGCACUAACACCAGAUGAUAACUUUACUAUCUCCAAAGUAUUACAAACAAAUAGAAUUCCUUAAGAAUUCUCAAAUGGGAGAAGAGAGAAAACUAAGAGAGAAAGAUUGGUUGGGAUGAAUUGAAAUGAGAAAUGAGAAGGCCUAUUUAUAGUUGAGGUUCAAGGACUAAACAAUAAAUAGCCCAUUAUCUCAAGGACCAAAAAAAAAAUUAUCCCUUGCCACUUUUCCAAAGUUGGUGGUUGUCAUUAUUGAUUGUCUCCCAUUAAUGUUAAUGGCAACCAUUAUUAAUUGUCUUCCAUUAAUGUUAACAAUCUCCACCUUGAAGAUUUGAUUAGGAUAAUCACAUCUUCACACACUUCCUUCAACUCCCCAAAUUCGAUAAAGCUAUCUUUUGUAGUGCCUACAAAUGCGCUCUCGAGCGCCAUACACCUGAAGGUGCUCAAAUUCUCAGGAUGUUAAUCAAGUUCAAACAAUGAUUAAACUUGAUUGUUGUUACCACCUUGGUCAUCAUAUCUGCGAGAUUAUCUGCUGUCGGAAUCUUCUGAAGUAGAAUUUUUCCUUUUUCAAAGACUUCCCGCACAAAGUGAUAUCUUACGUCGAUAUGCUUGGUUCUUGAAUGAUAGACUUGAUUUUUCGCUAAAUGAAUAGCGCUCUGACUGUCACAAUAUAAACUUAUGUGACUUUGAACAACUCCUAAGUCUUUCAACAAUCCAUUAAGCCAAAUAGCCUCCUUAACAGCUUCUGUAACUGCCAUAUAUUCUGCCUCUGUAGUAGACACAGCUACUGUAGACUGUAAGGUAGACUUCCAACUCACUGGGGCUUUCGCAAGAGUAAACAGAUACCCCGUAGUUGAACGACGUUUAUCUAAAUCACCAGCAAAGUCGAAAUCAACAUAUCCAACUACAAACUGACCAAGUGCUUCAUCCUGUUCAAAAAUUAAACCAACAUCUACGGUUUUUCGAAGAUACCGUAGAAUCCAUUUCACAGCUUGCCAAUGUCCUUUUCCAGGAUCAUGCAUAUACCUGCUCACAACUCCAACAACUUGUGAAAUGUCAGGCCGCGUACACACCAUCGCAUACAUCAAACUCCCAACUGCAUUAGCAUAUGGGACUUUUGCCAUAUAUUCUCUUUCUUCUUCAGUUUUCGGAGAUAAUUGAGCACUAAGUUUCAAAUGAGAAGCAAGUGGGGUACUUACAUGUUUUGUGUUUUCAUUUACACCAAAACAUUGUAAUACCUUUUUCAGAUAUUACUUCUGAUUCAAACAAAGCUUGCCUCUCUGUCUAUCUCUACUUAUCUUCAUGCCGAGAAUCUUCUUGGCCUCACCUAGAUCUUUCAUCUCGAACUCUUGAUUCAACUGAGCCUUCAGCUUAUCUAUCUCAUUUUGGCUCUUCGAAGCGAUUAACAUAUCAUCAACAUACAAGAGUAGAUAAAUGAAAGAUCCGUCAUGCAGCUUCUGCAAAUAUACACAAUUGUCAUAUUUACUUCUUGUGUACUUCUGCCUUCUCAUAAAGCUAUCAAAUCGCUUGUACCACUGCCUCGGGGAUUGCUUCAAUCCAUAUAGCGAUUUGUUAAGCUUACAAACCCAAUUUCUACCAUCAACAUCUGUGUAUCCUUCUGGCUGAGUCAUAUAGAUCUCCUCUUCUAACUCACCAUGCAAGAAAUUCGUCUUAACAUCAAGUUGAGCUAGCUCCAAAUUCAACUGUGCUACCAAGGCCAACAAAAUUCUAAUGGAGGAAUGCUUCACAACAGGGGAAAAUACAUCAUUGUAGUCAAUUCCCUCCUUCUGAGCGUAGCCUUUAGCUACCAAUCUUGCCUUGUAGCGAAUAUCUUUCUUGCUAGGAGAUCCAUCUUUCUUUGCGAAUACCCACUUGCAUCCGAUUGCCCUUUUACCUUUCGGUAAUUGCGCCAACUCCCAAGUAUUGUUCUUCCGGAGAGACUGCAUUUCUUCAUCCAUGGCGCUUUUCCAUUUAUCACUUUCUAAGCUUUGCAUUGCUUCUUGAUAAGUGAUAGGAAUAUCAUCAACAACGGGAAGGGCGUAGGCCACCAUAUCAGUAAAUCGAGCAGGUUUACGAAUUUCUCUCCGUGGCCUUGCAACUGCAACUGGUUCUGGUGUACUUAGUGGUUUUUGGGUCAGAACCUCUUCAACCUCUAAUUCCUCCAUUGUGGCUGGAGAAUUAGACUUAUUAACUGGGCAAAUCCCCAUCUGCUCAAACUCCACCUGUUUUGGAAUACGCUCCACCUGCUGUGGAGUAUUGCUCGUCUGAAUAUCUUUAUCUGCUACCUUUUUCAAUGUGGCAGAUUCAUCAAAGGUAACAUCUCUGCUACAGAUCAUUUUCUUUGUGCUUAAGCACCAAAGACGAAAUCCCUUCACUCUAGAAGUGAUUCCCAUAAAGAGAGCUUUCUUUGCUCUCGGAUUUAACUUUGACUCCUUCACAUGGUAAUAUGCAGUGGUUCCAAACACAUGUAAGGAAUCAUAAUCUGUAGCCGGUUUUUCAGACCAUACCUCCAUAGGAGUUUUUCUUUCUAAUGCAGAUGAUGGCAAACGAUUAACAAGAUGGCCAGCGUAUGUCACAGCCUCAGCCCAAAAUUUCUUGCCCAACCCAGCAUUGGACAACAUACAUCGAACUUUCUCCAGUAAUGUUCGAUUCAUACGCUCUGCCACUCCAUUCUGCUGUGGUGUAUCCCUAACUGUGAAGUGUCGAACAAUACCAUACUCUUGGCACACAUCGAAGAACGGAUCACUUUUAUAUUCCCCUCCAUUGUCCGUCCUAAGCCGCUUGAUUUUCUUGCCAGUCUGGUUUUCGAUCAUAGUUUUCCAUUUAAGAAAAACUCUAAGCACUUCAUCCUUAGUUCUCAUGGUAUACACCCAAACUCUUCUGGAAAAGUCAUCAACAAAAGUAACAAAGUAGUGUUUUCCUCCCAAUGAAGGUGUCUUGGAAGGCCCCCACACAUCUGAGUGAACAUAUUCCAAAAUACCUUUUGUAUUAUGGAUAGCAGUACCGAAUUUCACUCUCUUUUGCUUUCCCAGAACACAAUGCUCGCAAAAUUUUAAUUUGUAAGCCUUUGCACCUUUCAACAAUCCUUGCUUUGCCAGAAUUUGCAAGGAUUUUUCGCUGGCAUGUCCCAACUUCAUAUGCCACAACUGUAUUGAGUCCAAUUCUUUAUUGCCGGAAGCUGCAGCGACUGCUCCAAUAACUGUACUACCUUGGUAGUAAUACAAGUUAUUUUUCCUGAUGCCCUUCAAUAUCACAAGUGCGCCAGAUGUCACUUUCAAAACCUCAUCUCUCAUAGUAACAACUGAACCAUUGGAUUCCAAGGCUCCCAAUGAGAUGAGAUUUUUCUUCAAACUGGGCACAUACCGAACAUCAGUCAGAACUCUGGUUGAUCCAUCUUUAUUCUUUAAUUGGAUUGAACCUAUCCCAACAGUUUUACAGGCAUUGUCAUUGCCCAUAUAAACAACUCCUCCAUUUAGUUCUACUAAAUCAGAGAACCACUCCCGGUUAGGGGACAUAUGAUAGGUACAACCCGAAUCCAAUAUCCACUCAUCUGAAUAGAACGACGAUGAUGAUGCAACCAGUGAUAGUUCAGAGUCACUAGUAUCAUGCUUUGCAACACAAGCAUCUACAGCAGCUUUUCCCUUAUUCUUCAGCUUUGGACAAUUUUUCUUCCAGUGGCCUUUCUCAUGACAAAAAGCACAUUCAUCUUUCCCGAGUCUGGACUUUGACUUUGAUCUCCCCUUUUGAGUUUUCUUCCGAGUGUAUGAACGACCUCGGACUACUAAAGCUUUUGUAUCUCUGAUUGAGUUUUUCUGUUUGUCCUUCUUUCUCUGUUCAUAACUGUAUAAGGCCGCACAGACUUCGCUCAGAGAUAUAUCACUCCUGCCAUGAAGUAGAGUAGUUUCUAGGAACUCAAACUCCUCAGAAAGUGACCCCAACAGCAUCAAAGCCAAAUCUUCAUCUUUGAAUGUCUCAUCCAUAUUCAACAAAUCAGUGACUAACUGAUUAAAUUUGGUGAUGUGAUCAUUCAUUGUGGUACUUGGGACGUAUGUGAAGCGAAACAGUCUUUUCUUCAAGUGGAGCUUAUUUUGACUGUUUUUCUUCAAAAAAUUUUCUUCAAGUGCCACCCACAACUUAUUUGGAGAAGUCUCAUUUGAAAAAGCAUACCUCUACUCUCGAGAAAGGCAUGAUCGAAUUGUGCCACAUGCCAACCGAUUGAUCGCCUUCCAAUCUUUCUCCUGUACAUCAUCUGGUUUCUCUUCAUCAAUGGCAAUGUCCAGACCCUGCUGAAAAAGGGCAUCUAGAACCUCACUUUGCCACAUACCAAAAUGGCCCGUGCCAUCAAAGAUCUCCACGGCCAAUCUUGCAUUUGCAAUUGUCGGUCUUGUCCACAUGGACGAUGUUGAAGCUCCUACACCGACCGUUUUCUCCAUAAUCUUUCAAUAUACCUAAGGAAAUCUUUUCUGAUGUGGAAGAUCAGUUUAAACUGUAACCACAGAGCAUACUACGAUUAACCUUCGGCUCUUGAUACCACUUGUUGUUCCAAUAGGGUCGGAAGCGUGUAAAUUAUUGUACUAAAAAAUUACACAAAGUUCAAUUUCCAGGGAAGAGAGGUGGAUCACAUGGAUCUCUUAAAUACCAAGUCUUUCCUUAGACAGAAUAUCCCUUCUAUAGUAAUUUAAUAGCACAAUUAAAUACUACUAUUAUACCCUCAAAUAUUGAAAGAAAAAUAGGACAAGAAAGAACACAAGAGAUUUAACGAGGUUCGGUAAAUUAUACCUACGUCCUCGGGCACUAACACCAGAUGAUAACUUUACUAUCUCCAAAGUAUUACAAACAAAUAGAAUUCCUUAAGAAUUCUCAAAUGGGAGAAGAGAGAAAACUAAGAGAGAAAGAUUGGUUGGGAUGAAUUGAAAUGAGAAAUGAGAAGGCCUAUUUAUAGUUGAGGGUCAAGGACCAAACAAUAAAUAGCCCAUUAUCUCAAGGGGCAAAAAAAAAUUAUCCCUUGCCACUUUUCCAAAGUUGGUGGUUGUCAUUAUUGAUUGUCUCCCAUUAAUGUUAAUGGCAACCAUUAUUAAUUGUCUUCCAUUAAUGUUAACAACAUCUUCUUUCACUGAGCCUACAUUCUCCUGACUUUUACUCUCAUUUUCUUUACUAGAGGAGCCAUCCAUGAAGGAAUUUAAGGCAAGCUGACCUGAAUAAAGGAAUAAGCCUAGAGAAUUGAUGCCGAAAACAAAUGUGGCAAGG
RNAcentral lists this long non-coding RNA (6116 nucleotides) under Gossypium barbadense (sea-island cotton). Its description in RNAcentral is "long non-coding RNA (GBAR_LNC013214)". The record is from RNAcentral. Lineage: Eukaryota; Viridiplantae; Streptophyta; Magnoliopsida; Malvales; Malvaceae.